AAAACUUUAAGUUAAUAAAACUUUAAAUCUUCAAAAUUUAACAUAAAUUCUAAUAUUUAAGUUUUA
This 66-nucleotide transfer RNA is filed under the name Sirex nitobei. Its description in RNAcentral is "tRNA-Trp". Lineage: Eukaryota; Metazoa; Arthropoda; Insecta; Hymenoptera; Siricidae. The record is from RNAcentral.